Molecule: long non-coding RNA, 2438 nt
Organism: Pteropus alecto (black flying fox)
Lineage: Eukaryota; Metazoa; Chordata; Mammalia; Chiroptera; Pteropodidae
Exons: 3
Source: RefSeq, a predicted model, not a curated record
CGGAACUAGGGUGUUGUUAGUGAGAAGCGGGAACUGUAGACUUGAGACAUCUUUGGGAGGUAAAAUUGCCAGGAGUUGGGGUCAGCUUGGACGGCCCAGAAGUGGUCUGUCGGGGUGCACGCUCCACGCAAGCCUGAGAAGUGUAUUCGCUGUGGGUGGGUGAAGCCGUCUACAGGUGUCCAUCAAGUCCAGUGGAUCUGACCUGCUGUCGGGUACACGACGUCCGCGCCCAUUCUCUGCCCGCUGGAUCUGACCGCUUCUGACGAGGGUGUGGAUUCAUCUGCUUCUCCGCGCAGUUUUUUUACAGAAUUGUCACAGUUAAUAAACAAAUAUUGAUGCGUAAUUAUUAACUAGAAUCCUAUUUCAUUCGAGUUCCUGCGUUCACAGCUCGGUGUCUGUGCCAGUGCUUCUGUCUCUCACAGCCCUCGGUGACCGACCAGAGAGAAGGUAAAUAAAGGCCUAAGAAGAGAAGAAGGAGGGAGAGUGAGUGCUGACCUCAUGUUGGGCAGGAGCUGACAUGCACCCCCUCACUGAACCUCACGUCCACCCUGAGAGAGACCGGUUAUCCUCAUCCAAAGGUCGAGGAGUCUUUGCCUUAAGCCAUGCAGCUAGGAAGCGAUGUGGCCAGAAGUCAGCUCUGCACCUGUCUGGGGCACAAGCAGUCCUCCAUAAGGAAACUGCCACCACAUACUCCAUUCUGAGCAGCCAGGAAGCUCUUGUCAGCUGAGACCUCAGAGGAAAGGAACAUGGACAGAAGCAGAUCGGUGAUCCAGACAGAAAACAGGUUUUCAAAUGCCAGAGAACAAACAAGGUAUAGAAGUGAGGAAGUCAUUGUUAUAGAGAUCUGGUGUUGGUUGUACUCCUGUGAAGGGCCAGGGCACCUCCUUUUUCCCUACCUGUCCCCAUCCCCAGCUUCCCACUCAAGUCCCAACACAAAACCCAGCUUGGUUGAGAGUAUGGAAAGCUGGACCAUUAGGUUAUGUGCAGAUAUUCUUCCAAUAGAGUGAUUAAGGUUCAACCCAAAGCUGCAAGGACUAUUUGGAUUACUCUAUUUGUCCAGGAUCCUGUGUGAGAGUAGGAUCCUGUACUCAGAACUAUGUUAGAAUCAGUCUUCAGUUUAAAUACCUGGUAAAUGGAGAUAAGUUUUCUUUCGCAUCUGGCAAAUGGAAGCAGUAGGUUGGAUGAGACAUGUGAAGGACCUAAAACAGGAUUUAUUGCAAAGUGAACUUAGUACCUAGGAUCUGGAUUCCAAGUUUAAUGAGUGGGCAGAGCCCUUAAGACAGGGAAACGCUCUUCUUUGCUGCCAUCUCGUGUACAUUUUCGGAAUAACACCCAUGUAUGUCAUGAUGAAAAGCUAUUGUCAGCUGCCAUCUCGUGGACAUCUUGGGGAUAAUACCAGUGUGUAUGUCAAAAAGUUAUUCUCUGUUGCCAUCUGGUGGGCAUUUUAAACAUAACACAAGAGUGCAUGUCAUAAAAAGUUAUUUAUUCUCUUCUGUCAUCUUGUGGGCAUCUUGAGAAUAACACUCGAAUGUAUGUCAUCAUGAAAAGAUAUUCUCUGAUAACAUCUGGUGGGCAUUUCGAAAAUAACAUCCAAGUGUAUGUCAUCAUAAAAAGUUAAUCUCUACUGCCAUCUCAUGUGCAGAUUUUGAAUAACACCCGAAAGUGUGUCAUUACGAAAACUUAUUCUCUACUACUAAUUUGUGUGCAUCCUAAAAUAACACCCAAAUGUAUGUCAUGAAAGGUCAUUCUCUGCUGUUAUCUCGUGUGCAUCUUGGAAAUAACGCCGAAUAAUGUACAUCAUGAAGUCCUCUCUACUGCCAUCUCAUGUACAUUUUAGUACGCUUGAGUAUAUGUCAUCAUGAAAAGUAAUUCUGUGCUGCUGUCUUGUGGGCAUAUUGGGAAUAACGUCUGAGUGUUUGUCAUCACGAAAUGUUAUUCUUUGCUGCCAUCUCCUGAGCAUCUCAGGAAUAACACCCAGUAUACAUCACGAAGUUUUUUCUGCUGCCAUCUCGUGGGCUUUUUGAAAAUUAUGUUCCAGUGUAAUUUGUCAUGAAAGUUUUUUUCUGAUGUUAUCUUGUGGGCUUUUGGAAAGUAAUACGUGCGUGUAUGUCAUCACAAAAAUUUAAUCUCUGCUACUAUCUCGUGUUCAUUUAGAAAAUAAUAUGGGAGGGUAUAUUCUGAAAAGUUAUCUGUGUUGCCACCUCUUGUAUGUUUAGAGAAUAACACCUGAGUGCAUGUCAUAAAAAAAGUUAUUGUCUGCUGUCAACUCAUGUGCAUUUCGAAAAGGAAACCUGAAUUUAUGUCAUCGUGAAACGUUAUCCUCUGCUGCCAACUCUUGUAUAUUUAGAAGUACACCCAUGUGUUUGUCAUCAUGAAAUGUUAUUCUUUGCUGUCAUCUCAUGUGCAUCUCGGGAAUAAAUGCUCAAUGUACAUUAUAA